This 84-nucleotide transfer RNA is filed under the name Thermoprotei archaeon. RNAcentral's name for it is "tRNA-Leu". It matches the Rfam family "tRNA". Rfam says of the family: Transfer RNA (tRNA) molecules are approximately 80 nucleotides in length. Their secondary structure includes four short double-helical elements and three loops (D, anti-codon, and T loops). Lineage: Archaea; Thermoproteati; Thermoproteota; Thermoprotei. The record is from RNAcentral. RNAcentral also lists the same sequence under 3 other names.
GCGGGAGUGCCCGAGCAUGGUCAAAGGGGCCGGACUGAGGCUCCGGCGCCGUUGGCUGCGUGGGUUCAAACCCCACCUCCCGCA